AACCACAGAUAUUGUUAAAAUUGUAUUAUAGAUAUUAUAAAAAUAAGUAUUUUUCCCAGUAGUAUAUAUGGUAGUAGAUUUUAUACUGUAAAUAAAAUGAUCAAGCCCUUUUGCAGGUGAUUUUUUUAACAGUACAUUGUUAGUGGAUUAUUAGAAACUGAUUGAAAAAUAUACACUCAGUACUUACUAAGGGUGGAGAGAGUAUCUCAAGUUUCUCAUAAAAAAUAGAGCAAGUCUUUUUUUGCAACAUGGUUCUGAAGCCUCAUUAUGCAACAUUUUUCCAUUAGAAGAAAGAACUGUAUUUUUAAAGUGCUGUGUUGAGCCCCUUUCCAUACAAGAGCUGGUACUGCAUAGCAGUUGAGAUAAUGGAGCAAGGCUACCUCUAUUCACAUCUCAGUUUUACUAUUUAUUACCAACAUACGCUUAGGCAUAUUAAUUGUAUUUGUCUCAGUUUAUUCAUCUAUAAUAUUGGUAUCAUCAUUACUAGCUAUCACAUAGUGCUAUAGGUAGGAUUAUGCCAAUCAUAGAAAGUCCUACAUACACUCUUAAUAAAAACAAUCAAAAUAUAUGUUCUCAUAGCACUCUAUGCAUGCUUUUAUUUUGCACUUUUCACAAUACGUUAUAUCAAUUUGUUUUUGAGAUCUUUAAGGGCACAAUUUCUUUCUCUUUGUUCUGCAAAUAAUGCAGUUCUUAGGAUAUCACAGGGUCUACACAUUCAAUUCUGAUUUAGCAAGUAUAUCUUAAGUGCUUGCUAUGCUCCAGACCCUCACUAUAUAUACUCUGUUUCACACUGAGGAUAAAAAUGACCCUUCUCUCAUGUUGCUUGACGUGUAACAGAAGGUGACAAACAAAUGGGUUCAUUCACUGUAUUAGCAUGAAUACUGUAUUAGGGAAGUAUGCAUUGUUCUGGGAAUAUAAAGGAGGUGCAUCCAACUAGAUCUGGGCUGGAGGAUGACUAGUGUAUUUCUGGGGCUUUAGGAGCAAGUCUUUAGCAGUCUGUGAAGAGACUUUAAAGGCCAAGAGGAUUAGGACUAAGGAAAAACAGUUGGGCUAGACACUGCUGGAAGGAGAUGUGACUGCAAUGGAAAGCAGAGACUAAAGUCUGCUUUUUACCCCAUGGCACAUUGAAAUGCAUUCCAAAGACAAUACACUUUGCUCUAAUUAAAACAUGGAAUUAUUUUUCUUCCUGAAGCAUUAUCACAGCCAUUGUGAUAUCUGCAACUUUUGCAGCUGAUGAACACUCCGAAGGAAAUGCUUAUAUUAGGUUAGAAGAUGUGAUUCUGAAAACUCCCCAAAUCUGAGAUAAACUCUCCCAGCCUAAAGGAACAUGUACAUCCUGGAUCCUGUAAUUAGAUGUGAGCUCAGUGCUUCCUCGUUCAAAAACACCUGAUAGCAGUGAAUCUCUCAUAACAUUCCAUGAAGAAGACUUCUAAGACUCACCUCACUCAAUAAUGACAUAAAAAUGAUUUGUAUGCAAUGUACACUACCCAAAAUAUUAAUCUGAGAAACUUACUUGUGCUGAUACGAUCAGACUUGCUGCUUUUGGGGGCUGGCCUUUCACACUGUGUGCCUGACCAGUUGGCGGAGCAUCUAAAAAUAUCCAAACAACAACAAAAUAGAUCAGUGAAUAACAAAGCCCACAAGUCUGCUAAUGUAGUAAUUUUAAUCAAAUGAAAUGUUAUAGGAGCCAGGCAUUACAAAUUGAUGAAAUUAGGUAGGAAUUUCUGCUAAUUUCUUGCAUAUUUUGAGUAUGCUGCGUGUAACUUUCAUUGGACUUUGUUAAAAUACUUUUUAAAAUUUAAGUUUAUAGUUAUUUUACUUAUUCUGCAUUAAACUUAAAAUUGACAUAUUUCAUAGCAGUAUUAAAAUCUUGAUGAAUUGGAACUUAAUUUGAGAGAUAUGGAAAAUUACAAGUGGCCACUUACAAAAAUUGAGUUUGCAUAUUAAACAAAUCCUUCUGUAAGUUUUUGUGAUUUGUUUUUCUGGUUGUUCUAAGUCCAAAGUGGAACUAACUACCAAAAGGCCAAUAGUCGUCUGUCUCCUAGUUCAAGCUGUAGAGUUUUUACUCUCUUCACCAGAGAUAACAAAAUGCAGUGCUUUCCCAUUUUAAAUCGCACUUCUAUUAAUAUGAAGUCAAGAGAAUGUGCCCAAAUUUUUGUUGGGAGGAGUUGUUUUCCCAUAUAAGUACUAUGACAGUAUGAUAAGAAGUAGCAGAAGACAAGAAUAAUAGAUCUGAUUAAAAGUUAUGAUUUCAACAGAAAUUGCAACUAUGAAAUUAGCUAGUUGCAUCAAAAUAAAUGCUGGAACAGUUUUAGUUGUGUUUAAACAAUGUCUAUUGGCUAACAUAAGAUGCCUCUGUGCAUCUGUCACAGGAAAUCCACAGAGAAACAAUUUAAUUGGCUUCAGUUCAUAGUUAAAAUGACUGUCAAAUACCACUAUAUCAAGAAUAGUGUACACAAUAAAAAAACAGCUUCCAGAACCAUUCUAAGUGAACCUCUCUGAGCAUGGUGGGCCAAACUAAAUAACUGCAAUUUCAAUGUCUCUGCCAAUUCUUGGAUAGCCAAUUUUGAUAUCUGAGGAUUCUUCAGGAACUGAGCUUCUAUGAUGCCACACAAAUUAUUUGUGAUAGUGAUAAAAACAGUAUUGGCUGUCCUAAAUCAUGGGCAAAUUCUCACAAAAUCAUUAUUACUGACAAAGUCAAAUAAUAAACAUAAAAAUAUGUUUCAAAUAAACAUAUAUAAACUUGAACAUAAAUUGGCAAUGAGGUUACUGUUAGAUAAAAGAGUUAUUUAGUUAAUAAUGAUAAAUUUAAAACUAUGAUUAUGGAGCAUGAUUUAAAUGAAAAUUAAUAAAUUAUUAAUAUUAUAAAUCAGGUCAUGACUCGUGCAUUAGCCCAAUUUUUUGUUGUUACGUUAUAAAAAGCUUAAACAUUAUAUGAUUUUCUAUACAUCAUGUUUAUUAUAAACCAUAAUGCAAGUAAAUUAUUAACAUAGAUAAAUACAUUUAAGGCUAAGUCUACAACACUGUAUACUAAAGUGAAGUAAUAAAAUGAGCACAUUUUCAAAUUAUUAGAAUAAAGUGAACAACAAAUGAAA
This is a long non-coding RNA of Sapajus apella (tufted capuchin), 3095 nucleotides long. RefSeq lists it as uncharacterized. NCBI's taxonomy places the organism in Eukaryota, Metazoa, Chordata, Mammalia, Primates, Cebidae. The record is from RefSeq and is a predicted model, not a curated record. The transcript has 2 exons.